GACGAACGCUGGCGGCGUGCUUAACACAUGCAAGUCGAACGGAAAGGCCCUGCUUUUGUGGGGUGCUCGAGCGGCGAACGGGUGAGUAACACGUGAGUAACCUGCCCUUGACUUUGGGAUAACUUCAGGAAACUGGGGCUAAUACCGGAUAGGAGCUCCUGCUGCAUGGUGGGGGUUGGAAAGUUUCGGCGGUUGGGGAUGGACUCGCGGCUUAUCAGCCUGUUGGUGGGGUAGUGGCUUACCAAGGCUUUGACGGGUAGCCGGCCUGAGAGGGUGACCGGCCACAUUGGGACUGAGAUACGGCCCAGACUCCUACGGGAGGCAGCAGUGGGGAAUAUUGCACAAUGGGCGGAAGCCUGAUGCAGCAACGCCGCGUGCGGGAUGACGGCCUUCGGGUUGUAAACCGCUUUCGCCUGUGACGAAGCGUGAGUGACGGUAAUGGGUAAAGAAGCACCGGCUAACUACGUG
This 468-nucleotide ribosomal RNA is filed under the name uncultured bacterium. Its description in RNAcentral is "partial 16S ribosomal RNA". It matches the Rfam family "Bacterial small subunit ribosomal RNA", at positions 28 to 507 of the family's 1533-position model. The record is from RNAcentral.